GAUGAACGCUGGCGGCGUGCCUAAUACAUGCAAGUCGAGCGAACGGACGAGAAGCUUGCUUCUCUGAUGUUAUCGGCGGACGGGUGAGUAACACGUGGAUAACCUACCUAUAAGACUGGGAUAACUUCGGGAAACCGUAGCUAAUACCGGAUAAUAUUUUGAACCGCAUGGUUCAAAAGUGAAAUACGGUCUUGCUGUCACUUAUAGAUGGAUCCGCGCUGCAUUAGCUAGUUGGUAAGGUAACGGCUUACCAAGGCAACGAUGCAUAGCCGACCUGAGAGGGUGAUCGCCCACCUUGGAACUGAGACACGGCCCAGACUCCUACGGGAGGCAGCAGUAGGGAAUCUUCCGCGAUGGGCGAAAGCCUGACGGAGCAACGCCGCGUGAGUGAUGAAGGUCUUCGGCUCGUAAAACUCUGUUAUUAGGGAAGAACAUAUGUGUAAGUAACUGUGCACAUCUUGACGGUACCUAAUCAGAAAGCCACGGCUAACUACGUG
This 497-nucleotide ribosomal RNA is filed under the name uncultured bacterium. RNAcentral's name for it is "partial 16S ribosomal RNA". It matches the Rfam family "Bacterial small subunit ribosomal RNA", at positions 28 to 507 of the family's 1533-position model. The record is from RNAcentral.